This 447-nucleotide ribosomal RNA is filed under the name uncultured organism. RNAcentral describes it as "partial 16S ribosomal RNA". It matches the Rfam family "Bacterial small subunit ribosomal RNA", at positions 335 to 799 of the family's 1533-position model. The record is from RNAcentral.
ACUCCUGCGGGAGGCAGCAGUGGGGAAUAUUGGACACUGGGCGCAAGCCUGAUCCAGCCAUGCCGCGUGAGUGAUGAAGGCCCUAGGGUUGUAAAGCUCUUUCACCGGUGAAGAUAAUGACGGUAACCGGAGAAGAAGCCCCGGCUAACUUCGUGCCAGCAGCCGCGGUAAUACGAAGGGGGCUAGCGUUGUUCGGAUUUACUGGGCGUAAAGCGCACGUAGGCGGACUAUUAAGUCAGGGGUGAAAUCCCGGGGCUCAACCCCGGAACUGCCUUUGAUACUGGUAGUCUUGAGUUCGAGAGAGGUGAGUGGAAUUCCGAGUGUAGAGGUGAAAUUCGUAGAUAUUCGGAGGAACACCAGUGGCGAAGGUGGCUCACUGGCUCGAUACUGACGCUGAGGUGCGAAAGCGUGGGGAGCAAACAGGAUUAGAAACCCCAGUAGUCCAUG